CGCCGCGCUCCCAAGAUCCAACUACGAGCUUUUUAACGUUCAGCAACUUUUAAAUACGCUAAUGGAGCUGGAAUUACCGCUGGCGGCUGCUGGCACCAGACUUGCCCCCAAAUGGAUCUCGCGAAAGGAAUUUAAAAGUGGGACUCAUUCCAAAAUUACAGGGCCUCGAAAGAGUCCUGUAUUGUUAUUUUUCGUCACUACGCUCCCCGGGUCGGGAGUGGGUAAUUUGCGCGCCUGCUGCCUUCCUUGGAUGUGGUAGCCGUUUCUCAGGCUCCCUCUCCGGAAUCGAACCCUGAUUCCCGUCACCCGUGUCCAUGGUGGCACGGCGACUACCAUCGAAAGUUGAUAGGGGACGUUCGAAUGGUCGUCGCCGCCACGGGGGGCGUGCGAUCGGCCCGAGGUUAUCUAGAGUCACCAGAGCGCCGGCGCCCGCACCCCCCGGCCGGGGCCGGGGAGGGAGCUCACCGGGUUGGUUUUGAUCUGAUAAAUGCACGCAUUCCCCCCGCGAAGGGGGUCAGCGCCCGUCGGCAUGUAUUAGCUCUAGAAUUACCACAGUUAUCCAAGUAGGAGAGGAGCGAGCGACCAAGGAACCAUAACUGAUUUAAUGAGCCAUUCGCAGUUUCACUGUACCGGCCGUGCGUACUUAGACAUGCAUGGCUUAAUCUUUGAGACAAGCAUAUGCUACUGGCAGGAUCAACCAGGUAGGGGAGCGCGAGCGAGCGAGGGGAGCCGGGGACCGGGAAGCCGAGCGCCCGGGACAGACGGACGGGGGCCGGGGCCCGACGGCGAGGUCUGGUCUCGCCCCGCGGAGAGGCGCGGGCGGGCGGGCGGGCGGGGGAGGCGGCGGAGGCGGAGGCGGACGGGCGCGCGCCGGUCGGCGACCCGACCGCGACACCCGCCGUCCGUCCGUCGGUCCGUCCGUCCGUCUACCGCCGCCGGGCGGACGGGCUCGCUCCGCCGGGACGCACCCCGGGACCGGGGCCGCGGGGCGAGGCGCGCGCGAGGGCGGCGCGGAGCGGCGGGGCGGAAGGGGCGCGGCGACCGCCGACCGCGGCCCGACGGGUGAGGGGGGCGCGGGCCGCACCCCGCGUACCGCGGCGGCGGCGGCGGCGGGCGGGGAAGGACGCGGGCCGCGGGGACCGGCCGGCGCCGAUCGCGCCGCAGGGCGCUCGCCGCCGGUCGACGGGGACGACUCGCCACGCGCGGCGGGGAGGGCGGGGCGGGGGUCGGGGGAGGAGCGGGGCCGAAACCCCGCCCUCCUCCCGGGCGCCCCCCUCCGAACGACCCGCACGCGCGAGGCGGGCACGACGCCACGCCGGCCGGCGACGACGACUCCCGCGACGGACGGGCCGGAGGACCCGGGUCCGCGCCGACCCCGCCCCCGCACGCGCGCGCGCGGGACGGGGAGGGCCUCGCCACACUCGACUCACCGACGGGCCGGGGGCGGGACGGGGCGCCCCGACUUCCCGCGGGCACCUAACGCCGCCGCCGGCGGGGCGGCGGGGCGGAGGACCCGGGGCCGCCGCCGCGGUCCCCACCACGGCGGGCGACACGCGACGAGCGGGAAAGCGAGCCCCCGGGAUCGGAGAAGCCGGGCGGAGGGAGAAAACUCGAGACGGGCGGCACGCGAACGUGGCGGACGGCCAACCCCGGCGCGGGGAGGCGGCGUCACAAGGGCCGCGGGGACGCGGCACCGGUCACCCGCGAGGUCGCCGGGGAAACGACCGCCUCGGGGAGCCCGGCCUUCCGCCGGUCCGGGACCCACGCACGGGAAUCUCACCGCCAGCGCCCCCGCGGCGCAUCGGCGGUCCCGCGCGCGAGCCCCCACCCGGGACGGACCGACCCGGACCCGCCGUCGGCGACGGACCCACGGCGACGCCUCGUCGAGGCCGAGCCCGCGUCCUCGCCGAGCCGGUCGCGGCUCCACCCCCGCACACGCCACCGACCGUCUCACGGCGACCGGUCGCCGGGCGCACGGCGAGGAUCGGCGACGGCGAGGGCGGACGGGAGCCCACCCCGGACGGGGAAGCGGACGGGGAGAGACCCGCGGAGCGCACGGCCCGGGGCCGCCGGGGAAACCAGGCGGGAUCCCACCGCCCCCCCACGGGGGCGGUCCCGCCAUCGCCCGCGACGCCCGGAAGCCGGAGCCGGCGGAGUCCGAAGAGCACCCCCCACGGGAGGAGUCACCUCCUCCCGCGAGGAGAGAACACCCGCGUCCACCAGCCCCGUCGACGGGGACUCCCACGCGCGACUCCGCCGACGUCCGCACGCCGGGGAGGACGACCGCCUCGGCGGCCUCGCUCGAGAGAACCCACACGCGUACGGCCCCCUUCCUCCGGGGGACGGGCACCCACCGUCGCGGCGGCGGCGGCGGCAGCAGCGGCGGCGGCGACGGCGACGGGAGGGUGAGGGGAGGGGCGGGACCGACCGGGACGUCCGCCACACCACCGACCCCCAACACACCCCCCCACCGGACACACCACGCGCCAGCGGAGCGAGACCUCGGCGCACGCUCGCGGGCAGGCCCCGAGAGAGCCGGACACCGGCCGGGACCCCCCGCGGGACCCUCCCCCAGCUCGGAGGGGGGAGGCGCGGGCACGCAUCGGAUCGGGACAGACGCGUCGGACGGCUGACUUUCGCGCAGCGAGAACGUAGGCGGGCGGGCAGACGCGGGGGGGAGGCGGGCACCUCCCCACCUCUUCGCAAAGCACGCCCCGCUCGGAUCGCUAGAGAAGAAACUUUGCUCACUGAGGGUGGACCGAACCCGGCCCACCGGCCCCCGUCGGUCCGCAGAGGCGGGAUCCGUCCGCGGGAGUGGCCAGGCGAGGGGGGUCUGCGGUAUAGGUAAGCACGGGGCACACGUCGAGCACUCGCGGUCAGAGGCCGGGGCGACCUCACGUUUUCCGCUCAGUCCGCCGGGUGGCACGGCAGAACGGCCCACGGCCCGCCACGAUCGCUCGACACGCCCGCGCGCGGCCAACCGGGAGAGGCGGCGCGCGGGCGUGCGCCCGCCCCAAGGACCGAGUCGCACCCGCGACACGGCCGUCAAGAAGCGGCAGGCGGCCUUCGCCGCCGCCGCCCUCUCUCUCACCGCCUCGACCCCCUUUUCUCUGGCCGAUGGCCUCGAGAAGCCCGCCAACGCGGACGGGGCAGCCCCGCCACAGCGGCGACCGGAGCAGAGACACCGGGGGACACGGGAACGGCACCACCGCUCAGCCUCGGGCACCUCGAGUCGACCCGGAGCGCUCCAGGAGCACCGCGAAGGGCCGACGACGCACGGAACGCGGCUCGCGCGCCCGAGGAGGACGCGCGGCACGGCGGGGAAACGCGGGCCCCUGCCCCACCGCGGGGAGGGGCCGACCCACCGCCAAGGCACCAGGGCGCGGGAGGGGUGAUCCCCUCUCCCGCACGUCUGGGUCCCCGACCACGAGGAGAGGGCGGGGAAGGCGAAGGUCAGGCCGGAUACCGCACCCCUGCCUUCCGCACACCACCGGCAGGUGGGGCGGAGAAGCGAGGGGCCCGCUGGCAGCACGAGAAGAGCGGUCCCAUUCGCAGUGAAUGUCCGUCCCUCGCCUGGCGCGGCUUAGGCCCGGCCCGGGAGAGCACCACGUCACCACAUCGAUCGCGAGAAGG
This 3633-nucleotide long non-coding RNA is filed under the name Castor canadensis (American beaver). RNAcentral describes it as "lncRNA (ENSCCNG00000012098.1)". Lineage: Eukaryota; Metazoa; Chordata; Mammalia; Rodentia; Castoridae. The record is from RNAcentral.